Nanorana parkeri is the source of this 239-nucleotide long non-coding RNA. RefSeq lists it as uncharacterized. NCBI's taxonomy places the organism in Eukaryota, Metazoa, Chordata, Amphibia, Anura, Dicroglossidae. The transcript has 3 exons. The record is from RefSeq and is a predicted model, not a curated record.
GUGGUGCUGCCAAAGGUAGCAAGUUUGUUUUCCUUGCUUCUUUCAGAUCCAGUGUGGCUAGUCAAUCAGCAUGCAUUGGAGACAUUCACUCGGUUUGCUGAGGAAACCAGCUAUGAAGAAAUUGUUCCACAAAGCAUGAAUUCAGAAGACAUCAAGAAUCGUGUAAUAUCUUUUUUAAACAAGGUUGUUACCUCUGUGGAACCAGAUAAUGGCAGAAAGGAACGACUAGAGGAAGAAAG